GACUAAGCUCAUGCACUAGGCCCCAACAGACCAAACCAAACAAAACGGAGUUGCUUGUGUGUUAAGAAAACACAUAGGUUCUAGAACAAACCAGAUUUUGUUUUUUUUCCUGCUGCAAAUCUUUGUAACAAACAUUUUUGAUAGCAUAGGUAUCCACCCCAUGAAGUUCACAAUCUUUUAACCAAAUUCAUUUCCUCUUGCCUAGAGACCAUCAAGCUUCACAUCAUCAUGCAACAAAGGUUCCAGCCAGUUCCAGGUGAAGACACCACCCCUGGCCAUCAAGAAGCUACCUUGCCUUCACCAGACAGAGCAGGAAUUUUUGAGUUGGGUGGAAGUAGUGACUAUAUGAAGCAACUACCACUGAAGGACCAGAAAAGAAUAACGACAAUAUUAAAGAAAACAGCCAUCUUGGAGUCCAGUUAUAUUUUAAUAAAAGAUUUGUUCUCUACCAAUGCCCUACACUGCUAACAGGAAACUGCCUUCUGGAUUUGUGGGAAGUUCACCAGCAGGAAGCGCCAGUGGAAAUUGGGAGGGGUAAGAGUAGGGGAGCAACUUAGGUAUCCCACCAUUUGCUGUGGCACCUAGCAUCUCUUCCUGGGCCUCAACUCUGCCAAAUGGCUCCGAUUUUUCAACUCUGAUAGCAAAAUCUGCUUUUUGUCCCUACAGGACUAGCAAGAGUAGUACCUCCUAUUAUUCAUAAUUUUGGGUUUGUUUGGUCCCUUGGCUCUUCCAUCUUCAGUGUAAUCAUUUACCUUCAUUAAAAA
RNAcentral lists this long non-coding RNA (764 nucleotides) under Homo sapiens (human). RNAcentral describes it as "HSALNT0210424". The record is from RNAcentral. Lineage: Eukaryota; Metazoa; Chordata; Mammalia; Primates; Hominidae.